AGUGUAUUGGACAACCAUGGCAGUUACGGGUAACGGAGAAUUAGGGUUCGGUUCCGGAAAGGGAGCCUGAGAAACGGCUACCACAUCUAAGGAAGGCAGCAGGCGCGUAAAUUACCCAAUCCCGAUUCGGGGAGGUAGUGACAAGAAAUAACAACUCGGGAGAUUUAUCUCUACGGGAUUGCAAUGAGAACAAUUUAAAAGACUUAUCGAGGAACAACUGGAGGGCAAGUCUGGUGCCAGCAGCCGCGGUAAUUCCAGCUCCAAUAGCGUAUAUUAAAGUUGUUGCAGUUAAAAAGCUCGUAGUUGAACUUCUGUGUAUAUCCAGACGUGGCUUCGGUCAGUCUGUGGUGUGCACAUCCGCUUGCAAACCUGGACCGGCCUUUACUGGUCGACCAGGGGAGUAGGCCUUUUACUUUGAAAAAAUUAGAGUGUUUCAAGCAGGCAAUGGUUCGAAUACAUUAGCAUGGAAUAAUGGAAUAGGACUUUUGUCCAUUUGGUUGGUUAUUGGACAUGAGUAAUGAUUAACAGGGACAGUUGGGGGCAUUAGUAUUUAAUUGUCAGAGGUGAAAUUCUUGGAUUUAUUAAAGACUAACUUAUGCGAAAGCAUUUGCCAAGGAUGUUUUCA
This 625-nucleotide ribosomal RNA is filed under the name uncultured ciliate. Its description in RNAcentral is "SSU rRNA". It matches the Rfam family "Eukaryotic small subunit ribosomal RNA", at positions 330 to 972 of the family's 1831-position model. Lineage: Eukaryota; Ciliophora. The record is from RNAcentral.